This 253-nucleotide unclassified non-coding RNA is filed under the name uncultured Pirellulaceae bacterium. RNAcentral describes it as "contains 16S-23S intergenic spacer region". It matches the Rfam family "Bacterial small subunit ribosomal RNA", at positions 524 to 776 of the family's 1533-position model. The record is from RNAcentral. Lineage: Bacteria; Pseudomonadati; Planctomycetota; Planctomycetia; Pirellulales; Pirellulaceae.
GACGAACCGUACGAACGUUAUUCGGAAUUAUUGGGCUUAAAGGGUGCGUAGGCGGCGCAGAAAGUUGGAUGUGAAAGCCCCCGGCUCAACCGGGGAAUUGCGUCCAAAACUACUGUGCUCGAGGGAGACAGGGGUGAGCGGAACUCACGGUGGAGCGGUGAAAUGCGUUGAUAUCGUGAGGAACGCCGGUGGCGAAAGCGGCUCACUGGGUCUCUUCUGACGCUGAGGCACGAAAGCCAGGGGAGCGAACGGG